This 253-nucleotide ribosomal RNA is filed under the name uncultured bacterium. RNAcentral describes it as "partial 16S ribosomal RNA". It matches the Rfam family "Bacterial small subunit ribosomal RNA", at positions 524 to 776 of the family's 1533-position model. The record is from RNAcentral.
GACGGAAGGUGCAAGCGUUACUCGGAAUUACUGGGCGUAAAGCGUGCGUAGGUGGUUUGUUAAGUCUGUUGUGAAAGCCCCGGGCUCAACCUGGGAAUGGCAAUGGAUACUGGCAAGCUAGAGUGCGGUAGAGGGUAGUGGAAUUCCCGGUGUAGCGGUGAAAUGCGUAGAGAUCGGGAGGAACACCAGUGGCGAAGGCGGCUACCUGGACCAGCACUGACACUGAGGCACGAAAGCGUGGGGAGCAGACAGG